This 242-nucleotide unclassified non-coding RNA is filed under the name plant metagenome. Its description in RNAcentral is "partial contains small subunit ribosomal RNA, internal transcribed spacer 1, and 5.8S ribosomal RNA". The record is from RNAcentral.
UUUCCGUAGGUGAACCUGCGGAAGGAUCAUUGUCUACACCGCGCUCGUCCGCGCCCGCGGUAUCGGGGGCCCGCCCUUCGGGGCCGGCCCUGUCUGCACCCUCUGCCAUUGUCGCACCUCGCGUUUCCUCGGCGGGCCCGCCCGCCAAUGGGGACCCCAAACCAAACCCAUUUGCAGUGCCUGCAGUAAACGUCUCAAAACAAUGGAAAUCAAAACUUUCAACAACGGAUCUCUUGGUUCUG